This is a long non-coding RNA of Bombus impatiens (common eastern bumble bee), 1530 nucleotides long. RefSeq lists it as uncharacterized. The transcript has 2 exons. The record is from RefSeq and is a predicted model, not a curated record. NCBI's taxonomy places the organism in Eukaryota, Metazoa, Arthropoda, Insecta, Hymenoptera, Apidae.
UCGGACGCCCACCCCGUCGAAGAGGGAUAAACGAUGCACACCUCCUACUUUCUCUGGCCUUCCUUCCCCUCUUUUUACCAAUACCCCCGGUCAGGGCCACGCUUGAGCAGGGUCGCGAACAUCGGCAUAUCGUUGUUAUAGAGCAAACUCACUCUCUCUCCUUCUUACUCUAUCACAUUAUAGAAACGCUACUGAUUGCCUGAUGCCGACAUUUAUAGGGAGAAGGGAGGAGCUGUUAGUACUCCCUCGCUAUGCCGCCGCCCUUCUUUUCAUAAUCAGAAACAAGCUUCACGAAACGAAUCUCUCUUGCUUUAGUUGGCCAUGUAUGGAGUGGCCGAGUAGAUUAUGUGUUGAAUGUGAUUCAAUCCUGAAGGCUAUUUUAAUUGGAAGUAGUGAUGGGUUGUCUCAAGCAUUUCAAGCCGCAUCGAAUAUCUGAAUGUGGCGAAAAUUCAAAUCAGUUCGAAUACGAUUCAAUACCCUAAAACUUAUGAAAGUCUUGGACCUUGAAAGUCUUGGAGAUCUUGAAAGUUUUGCAACUCUUGUAAGUCUUAAAAGCUUAACGUGUAGUCAAUAUUUGACAGCAUUUUGAAUACUUUAAUCCAAAUACAUACAUUGGUAUAAAAUAUUAAAGAUAAGUAAAUAGAAAGUUUGAGAUAUUGGAAAUGCAUCUACGCGAACGAUUUCCAAGAGUUUUGAAGUAUUGAAUGAUAUUCGAAUCACUUCGAAUUUCAGCAUUCUUAAAAAACAUUGAAUCAUCUCAAAACUGACAAUGAAAUUCGAAUGCCCAUCAUAAGUUGUAUUUCUAUGCGAUACAAUCCUGCAAGCUACUUCAAUUGGAGGUUAUGAAUCUGUCGAUGUUUUUUCGAUCAAUCAUAUGUAUUUUCUAUACUUUUUUUAAGACUCAAUUCACGUAUUGAUUUCGUUAAAAAGUGGGUACUUCGUACAUAGCAACAGCAAUUUUUCAGCAAGGUGUAUAAAAAUAUCGAUAGGAAGGGAUUGAUAAUAUACAGAAUACAGAACGAUAUAAAAAUAAUUUACUUAACAAAAAGUAUAUAAUCUCAUACUGCUCCAAUUUGAGGUAGGUACCUGGAAAUAUUGAUGAGGUUUAAUUCAAUAAAGAGGAAUGGAUAUUAUAUGGAAGUGGUAUACAUUUGACAUGACAAAAAAUAACAUAUUUAUCUGGAAGGAAUGAGAUGUAAAAUAAGUCCAAUAUGGCUUUUAUUAAGUCAAUGAUAAUGACAAGUGAAAUAAAUUAAUCUCUAACAUCAACCGUAUGUCGUAAUUGCAUGAUGUUAGUAACAAUAAAUUAAAUAAGUAGUUACAUUUAAGUAAUCAGAUAAUCUACAUAUAGACUGUUUACUAAUAUACAUUAGCAAUUAACGUAAUUUAUAAAUAAAUUCUUCAAGAGUUCUAAAAAUAAUAUCGAGCUUACAAUCCAAUGGCGUGUAUGAUUAUGUCACAUGUAAUGUGUACCUAAACAGGGAAUUAUUCACAAUACAUGCUUGACGAUUUUGUUACAGCGAGUCUAAA